This 29-nucleotide non-coding RNA is filed under the name Rattus norvegicus (Norway rat). Lineage: Eukaryota; Metazoa; Chordata; Mammalia; Rodentia; Muridae. The record is from RNAcentral.
UCCCUGUGAGCUAGCUCCUGAAGUGCCAG